This 573-nucleotide ribosomal RNA is filed under the name uncultured bacterium. Its description in RNAcentral is "bacterial SSU rRNA". It matches the Rfam family "Bacterial small subunit ribosomal RNA", at positions 1 to 538 of the family's 1533-position model. The record is from RNAcentral.
CUUAGCCGGUCUCCGAAUGCUCUAGAUUAAAGUUGAUCAUGGCUCAGAGUGAACGCUGGCGGUAGGCCUAACACAUGCAAGUCGAACGGCAGCACAGGAGAGCUUGCUCUCUGGGUGGCGAGGNGGCGGACGGGUGAGGAAUACAUCGGAAUCUACUCUGUCGUGGGGGAUAACGUAGGGAAACUUACGCUAAUACCGCAUACGACCUACGGGUGAAAGCAGGGGAUCUUCGGACCUUGCGCGAUUGAAUGAGCCGAUGUCGGAUUAGCUAGUUGGCGGGGUAAAGGCCCACCAAGGCGACGAUCCGUAGCUGGUCUGAGAGGAUGAUCAGCCACACUGGAACUGAGACACGGUCCAGACUCCUACGGGAGGCAGCAGUGGGGAAUAUUGGACAAUGGGCGCAAGCCUGAUCCAGCCAUACCGCGUGGGUGAAGAAGGCCUUCGGCGUUGUAAAGCCCUUUUGUUGGGAAAGAAAUCCAGCCGGGCUAAUACCUGGUUGGGAUGACGGUACCCAAAGAAUANAGCACCGGCUAACUUCGUGCCAGCAGCCGCAGGUAAUACGAAGGGUGCAAG